Molecule: ribosomal RNA, 791 nt
Filed under: uncultured Mycobacterium sp.
Lineage: Bacteria; Bacillati; Actinomycetota; Actinomycetes; Mycobacteriales; Mycobacteriaceae
Description: bacterial SSU rRNA
Rfam family: Bacterial small subunit ribosomal RNA
Source: RNAcentral
GCUCGUAGGUGGUUUGUCGCGUUGUUCGUGAAAUCUCACGGCUUAACUGUGAGCGUGCGGGCGAUACGGGCAGACUUGAGUACUGCAGGGGAGACUGGAAUUCCUGGUGUAGCGGUGGAAUGCGCAGAUAUCAGGAGGAACACCGGUGGCGAAGGCGGGUCUCUGGGCAGUAACUGACGCUGAGGAGCGAAAGCGUGGGGAGCGAACAGGAUUAGAUACCCUGGUAGUCCACGCCGUAAACGGUGGGUACUAGGUGUGGGUUUCCUUCCUUGGGAUCCGUGCCGUAGCUAACGCAUUAAGUACCCCGCCUGGGGAGUACGGCCGCAAGGCUAAAACUCAAAGAAAUUGACGGGGGCCCGCACAAGCGGCGGAGCAUGUGGAUUAAUUCGAUGCAACGCGAAGAACCUUACCUGGGUUUGACAUGCACAGGACGCCGGCAGAGAUGUCGGUUCCCUUGUGGCCUGUGUGCAGGUGGUGCAUGGCUGUCGUCAGCUCGUGUCGUGAGAUGUUGGGUUAAGUCCCGCAACGAGCGCAACCGUUGUCUCAUGUUGCCAGCGGGUAAUGCCGGGGACUCGUGAGAGACUGCCGGGGUCAACUCGGAGGAAGGUGGGGAUGACGUCAAGUCAUCAUGCCCCUUAUGUCCAGGGCUUCACACAUGCUACAAUGGCCGGUACAAAGGGCUGCGAUGCCGCGAGGUUAAGCGAAUCCUUUUAAAGCCGGUCUCAGUUCGGAUCGGGGUCUGCAACUCGACCCCGUGAAGUCGGAGUCGCUAGUAAUCGCAGAUCAGCAAC